GAAGGGGGCGAGCGUUGUUCGGAUUUACUGGGCGUAAAGGGCGCGCAGGCGGCGCAUCAAGUCAGGCGUGAAAGCCCCGGGCUUAACCUGGGAACUGCGUCUGGGACUGGUGGGCUAGAGAUCGGGAGAGGAGAGUGGAAUUCCCAGUGUAGAGGUGAAAUUCGUAGAUAUCGGGAAGAACACCAGUGGCGAAGGCGGCUCUCUGGACCGAUACUGACGCUGAGGCGCGAAAGCGUGGGGAGCAAACAGGAUUAGAUACCCUGGUAGUCCACGCUGUAAACGAUGUGUGCUAGACGUUGGGGAGCCUAGCUCUUCGGUGUCGCAGCUAACGCUUUAAGCACACCGCCUGGGGAGUACGGCCGCAAGGUUA
RNAcentral lists this ribosomal RNA (370 nucleotides) under uncultured bacterium. RNAcentral describes it as "bacterial SSU rRNA". It matches the Rfam family "Bacterial small subunit ribosomal RNA", at positions 527 to 896 of the family's 1533-position model. The record is from RNAcentral.